RNAcentral lists this long non-coding RNA (295 nucleotides) under Mytilus galloprovincialis (Mediterranean mussel). The record is from RNAcentral. Lineage: Eukaryota; Metazoa; Mollusca; Bivalvia; Mytilida; Mytilidae.
ACAGUUCAAAUGUUCAUGCACUUAUAUUUUUUCUUUUUCAAUGACAAUAAAUUACCAAAUGUAUAUCAUUUCAGAAUUACAUUGACAUUCCCUUUAAAUGACAAAACCAUAUCCUGAAGACAAAGAAACUACAGAUUCCUCCAUAGAAAAAACAAGAAACACACCAAUAAGAACAACCUCAAUAACUCCUAAACCCACAAUGUUAAAUGUUAGUGAAGAGUAUACCAUGCAAGCGAAAUGUACUUCUGAAAUGAUAUUUCCUUAGUCCACAACAAAACUUUUCAGAUAUAAAUUC